UACGUAGGGGGCGAGCGUUGUCCGGAUUUAUUGGGCGUAAAGAGCGUGUAGGCGGCCAGGUAGGUCUGCUGUGAAAACUCGAGGCUCAACCUCGAGACGUCGGCGGAAACCAUCUGGCUAGAGUCCGGAAGAGGAGAGUGGAAUUCCUGGUGUAGCGGUGAAAUGCGCAGAUAUCAGGAAGAACACCCGUGGCGAAGGCGGCUCUCUGGGACGGUACUGACGCUGAGACGCGAAAGCGUGGGUAGCGAAUGGG
This 253-nucleotide ribosomal RNA is filed under the name uncultured bacterium. RNAcentral's name for it is "partial 16S ribosomal RNA". It matches the Rfam family "Bacterial small subunit ribosomal RNA", at positions 524 to 776 of the family's 1533-position model. The record is from RNAcentral.